RNAcentral lists this ribosomal RNA (522 nucleotides) under uncultured bacterium. RNAcentral describes it as "bacterial SSU rRNA". It matches the Rfam family "Bacterial small subunit ribosomal RNA", at positions 36 to 518 of the family's 1533-position model. The record is from RNAcentral.
CGACUGGCGGCGCACAUAAGACAUGCAAGUCGAACGGAAGUCGUUAUAUGGAUUUGAAGAGAACGGAGAACUUGUUCAAAGGGACAUGAUGAAGAAAUAUAACAAUGGCUUUAGUGGCGGACUGGUGAGUAAUACGUAAGCAACCUGCCUAUCAGAGGGGAACAACAGUUAGAAAUGACUGCUAAUACCGCAUAUGCCAUAAGUAUCGCAUGAUACAAGUGGGAAAGGAGUAAUCCGCUGAUAGAUGGGCUUACGGCUGAUUAGCUAGUUGGUGGGGUAACGGCCUACCAAGGCGACGAUCAGUAGCCGGACUGAGAGGUUCAACGGCCACAUUGGGACUGAGAUACGGCCCAGACUCCUACGGGAGGCAGCAGUCGGGAAUUUUGCGCAAUGGAGGAAACUCCUGACGCAGUGACGCCGCGUGCAGGAAGAAGGUUUUCGGAUUGUAAACUGCUUUAGACAGGGAAGAAAAAGGACAGUACCUGUAGAAUAAGCUCCGGCUAACUACGUGCCAGCCGCCGC